GAUACCUACGGGGGGCAGCGGUGGGGAAUAUUGGGCAAUGGGCGCAAGCCUGACCCAGCAACGCCGCGUGAAGGAAGAAGGCUUUCGGGUUGUAAACUUCUUUUAAGAGGGACGAAGGAAGUGACGGUACCUCUUGAAUAAGCCACGGCUAACUACGUGCCAGCAGCCGCGGUAAUACGUAGGUGGCAAGCGUUAUCCGGAUUUAUUGGGUGUAAAGGGCGUGUAGGCGGGAGCGCAAGUCAGAUGUGCAAACUCAGGGCUCAACCCUGAGCCUGCAUUUGAAACUG
RNAcentral lists this ribosomal RNA (287 nucleotides) under uncultured bacterium. RNAcentral's name for it is "partial 16S ribosomal RNA". It matches the Rfam family "Bacterial small subunit ribosomal RNA", at positions 334 to 635 of the family's 1533-position model. The record is from RNAcentral.